UGACUUUUUUCCCAUUUAAACGGAUAAUUUGCAUUGGAUCGAGAUAAUUUGACAAAUUGUGGGAAAUGAUAUGAGUAAUAGUAAUUAAAUCAGUAAAUCGUUCUCAUUAUUUCUUUAAACGAUGUUUAUACGCAUGUAGAAUACGUAAAGAUAUUCUAACAACAUACGUCUAUUGAAUGAAAAUGAUUUCGAAUAACAAUGGUCGGAAAAUUCUCCCGGUUCUUUCCAAGUUCAAUGCGACGAGAAGUAUCCCCUUUAUUUUCUUUUCUUUUCUUUUUUUCUUUUUGUCAUGUUAUAUUUGCUCGUAUAGAAUAACAAGUGGGGGGGUUCAGCUGAUAAAAAUAAUCUUUCUUUUCGUUCUUUUUAAGGAAGACUUUUUUUUAUGUUAGAAAUCGUAUUCUAAAUUUGCAAGGCAAACUAAUCUCAUUGUCAAAUAUGAAUUCGUCGUUAAACUUCGUAGAAUCUUAUUCGCAAGUAUUUAAUCGUCAUGAUUUUUCUGAACGAGUAGGGCGUGUGUUGUUGGUGUAUAUAAAAGAACUGUAAGCACCCAGCAUCUCUUCAUUACGAAAGUGUAUUUCUUAUAACGUACAAGUUCUAAUACUUUUUUCAAAUAGAAAAUAUUUCCUCGAGGAUAAAUAAUCAUUUUGAAUAAAAAAAAAGAAGAAAAAGAAGAAUUAAUUAUGUGUUACUGUGUAUCACAAUAACUGGGGAGAUAUUUGAAAGAAAAAUUUCAUUGAUAUCAGGUCAAUAGUAUCCUGAAAUUAUCGAAGUGAGUACAGUAGUGCAUAAAUUGGAGCAGUAAUUAAUUUAAAAAGUAAAAAGAAAAACAACAAGUUUGAUUUCUUUUUUUACGCUCACAUCAAUCGAAAAAUUGAGAAGAUGAAAACUUUCUUUUUCUUUUUUUUAUUAAUUGGCAACGUUAUUUGUGCCCCAUGGUUGGAUUUACUUCUUGGAGAACAAGCUUAUCCCGCUCAUAGAUCUGAUUAUUAUUUGAAUCAACGUUACAAUCAACGACAAGGAAGAGGUGGAAAAGAACGUUGGAAGCAAAUUUGCAGGACUAUAAAUGGAGAUCCUUAUACAUUUCCAGGACAAGUACCUUAUCCCGCUGCUCCAGUGUGUCCAUGGUAAAAUGAUAUUUCGAAAUUUGUCUUAAGUUGAUGACAUUAUCCGUGCCAAAAUAGUAAUAUGAUUAUUAAAGGUAUAAUAACAACAAAUGUGUUAGUUUUAAAAAUAUGAAUUUAUUAUAAUAAUGUUCUAAACUCUAUUUAAAAGAGUAUUUCAGUCAGAUAUAGACAUUAGUCCUAAAUAAGCAUUAAUACUAGAGUCACGGAUUGCCUAUCUGUCGUGCAUGACGAGUGUAUGUAUACACGUGUAUUUGAAUGUGUGUUAUUAUGCAAAAAAUAGGCAAGCAUAAAAAUAAGAAAAGCUUUGUACAUCAUUCAUCGAUUUCCUUAUUCCAAUAAGAAACCAGUUCUCCAGUCAUACGUGUAGAUGUUAUUGAUUACGUAUCACUUAAUCGUAUUGGAAUACUCUCUAUUAUCGAGUAUGUACUUAUGUAACGUACAAAAAUAAAUUAUUUACAGUA
This 1585-nucleotide long non-coding RNA is filed under the name Polistes dominula (European paper wasp). RNAcentral's name for it is "uncharacterized LOC107072685". The record is from RNAcentral. Lineage: Eukaryota; Metazoa; Arthropoda; Insecta; Hymenoptera; Vespidae.